GGGGCUAUACAUGCAGUCGAGCGGACAGAAGGGAGCUUGCUCCCGGAUGUUAGCGGCGGACGGGUGAGUAACACGUGGGUAACCUGCCUGUAAGACUGGGAUAACUCCGGGAAACCGGAGCUAAUACCGGAUAGUUCCUUGAACCGCAUGGUUCAAGGAUGAAAGACGGUUUCGGCUGUCACUUGCAGAUGGACCCGCGGCGCAUUAGCUAGUUGGUGGGGUAAUGGCUCACCAAGGCGACGAUGCGUAGCCGACCUGAGAGGGUGAUCGGCCACACUGGGACUGAGACACGGCCCAGACUCCUACGGGAGGCAGCAGUAGGGAAUCUUCCGCAAUGGACGAAAGUCUGACGGAGCAACGCCGCGUGAGUGAUGAAGGUUUUCGGAUCGUAAAGCUCUGUUGUUAGGGAAGAACAAGUGCGAGAGUAACUGCUCGCACCUUGACGGUACCUAACCAGAAAGCCACGGCUAACUACGUGCCAGCAGCCGCGGUAAUACGUAGGUGGCAAGCGUUGUCCGGAAUUAUUGGGCGUAAAGGGCUCGCAGGCGGUUUCUUAAGUCUGAUGUGAAAGCCCCCGGCUCAACCGGGGAGGGUCAUUGGAAACUGGGAAACUUGAGUGCAGAAGAGGAGAGUGGAAUUCCACGUGUAGCGGUGAAAUGCGUAGAGAUGUGGAGGAACACCAGUGGCGAAGGCGACUCUCUGGUCUGUAACUGACGCUGAGGAGCGAAAGCGUGGGGAGCGAACAGGAUUAGAUACCCUGGUAGUCCACGCCGUACACGAUGAGUGCUAAGUGUUAGGGGGUUUCCGCCCCUUAGUGCUGCAGCUAACGCAUUAAGCACUCCGCCUGGGGAGUACGGUCGCAAGACUGAAACUCAAAGGAAUUGACGGGGGCCCGCACAAGCGGUGGAGCAUGUGGUUUAAUUCGAAGCAACGCGAAAAACCUUACCAGGUCUUGACAUCCUCUGACAACCCUAGAGAUAGGGCUUUCCCUUCGGGGACAGAAUGACAGGUGGUGCAUGGUUGUCGUCACCUCGUGUCCUGAGAUUUUUGGUUAAUUCCCGCAACAAGCGCAACCCUUGAUCUUAUUCCACCAUUUAUUUGGCACUCUAAGGUGACUGCCGGUUACAACCCGAAGAAAGGUGGGAUGACUUCAAUCAUCAGCCCCUUAUAACCUGGGCUACCCCGUGCUAU
Molecule: ribosomal RNA, 1191 nt
Filed under: Bacillus zhangzhouensis
Lineage: Bacteria; Bacillati; Bacillota; Bacilli; Caryophanales; Bacillaceae
Description: bacterial SSU rRNA
Rfam family: Bacterial small subunit ribosomal RNA
Source: RNAcentral